This 492-nucleotide ribosomal RNA is filed under the name uncultured bacterium. RNAcentral's name for it is "partial 16S ribosomal RNA". It matches the Rfam family "Bacterial small subunit ribosomal RNA", at positions 29 to 507 of the family's 1533-position model. The record is from RNAcentral.
AGUGAACGCUGGCGGUAGGCCUAACACAUGCAAGUCGAACGGCAGCACAGUAAGAGCUUGCUCUUACGGGUGGCGAGUGGCGGGCGGGUGAGGAAUACAUCGGAAUCUACUUUUUUGUGGGGGAUAACGUAGGGAAACUUACGCUAAUACCGCAUACGACCUACGGGUGAAAGCAGGGGAUCUUCGGACCUUGCGCGAUUGAAUGAGCCGAUGUCGGAUUAGCUAGUUGGCGGGGUAAAGGCCCACCAAGGCGACGAUCCGUAGCUGGUCUGAGAGGAUGAUCAGCCACACUGGAACUGAGACACGGUCCAGACUCCUACGGGAGGCAGCAGUGGGGAAUAUUGGACAAUGGGCGCAAGCCUGAUCCAGCCAUACCGCGUGGGUGAAGAAGGCCUUCGGGUUGUAAAGCCCUUUUGUUGGGAAAGAAAAGCAGCAGGUUAAUACCCCGCUGUUCUGACGGUACCCAAAGAAUAAGCACCGGCUAACUUCGUG